UACAGAGGUCUCAACCGUUGUUCGGAUUCAUUGGGCGUAAAGGGCGCGUAGGCGGGCUGUCAAGUCUGGGGUGAAAUCCCGCGGCUCAACCGUGGAACUGCCUCAGAUACUGACGGUCUCGAGGGAGGUAGGGGCGAGCGGAACUGAUGGUGGAGCGGUGAAAUGCGUUGAUAUCAUCAGGAACUCCGGUGGCGAAGGCGGGUCUCUGGGCCGAUACUGACGCUGAGGAGCGAAAGCGUGGGGAGCGAACAGG
RNAcentral lists this ribosomal RNA (253 nucleotides) under uncultured bacterium. RNAcentral's name for it is "partial 16S ribosomal RNA". It matches the Rfam family "Bacterial small subunit ribosomal RNA", at positions 524 to 776 of the family's 1533-position model. The record is from RNAcentral.